RNAcentral lists this ribosomal RNA (121 nucleotides) under Streptomyces pilosus. Its description in RNAcentral is "partial 16S rRNA". It matches the Rfam family "Bacterial small subunit ribosomal RNA", at positions 162 to 283 of the family's 1533-position model. Lineage: Bacteria; Bacillati; Actinomycetota; Actinomycetes; Kitasatosporales; Streptomycetaceae. The record is from RNAcentral.
UCUAAUACCGGAUACUGACCCCCGCAGGCAUCUGCGGGGUUCGAAAGCUCCGGCGGUGCAGGAUGAGCCCGCGGCCUAUCAGCUUGUUGGUGAGGUAACGGCUCACCAAGGCGACGACGGG